UACGAAGGGGGCUAGCGUUGCUCGGAAUCACUGGGCGUAAAGCGCACGUAGGCGGAUCUUUAAGUCAGGGGUGAAAUCCUGGAGCUCAACUCCAGAACUGCCUUUGAUACUGGGGAUCUCGAGUCCGGGGAGAGGUGAGUGGAACUCCGAGUGUAGAGGUGAAAUUCGUAGAUAUUCGGAAGAACACCAGUGGCGAAGGCGGCUCACUGGCCCGGUACUGACGCUGAGGUGCGAAAGCGUGGGGAGCAAACAGG
Molecule: ribosomal RNA, 254 nt
Filed under: uncultured bacterium
Lineage: Bacteria
Description: partial 16S ribosomal RNA
Rfam family: Bacterial small subunit ribosomal RNA
Source: RNAcentral